This 73-nucleotide transfer RNA is filed under the name Erwinia phage phiEt88. It matches the Rfam family "tRNA". Rfam says of the family: Transfer RNA (tRNA) molecules are approximately 80 nucleotides in length. Their secondary structure includes four short double-helical elements and three loops (D, anti-codon, and T loops). The record is from Rfam by way of RNAcentral. Lineage: Duplodnaviria; Heunggongvirae; Uroviricota; Caudoviricetes.
GGAACUCUGGCGUAGGUGGUUCGCGCGGAUGUCUGAAAAACCUCAGGAACUGGUUCGAUUCCAGCGGGUUCCA